RNA transcript from Triticum dicoccoides, 2052 nucleotides. It is a transcript of the gene named thioredoxin M3, chloroplastic-like, with no coding region annotated. Lineage: Eukaryota; Viridiplantae; Streptophyta; Magnoliopsida; Poales; Poaceae. The record is from RefSeq and is a predicted model, not a curated record. The transcript is spliced from 3 exons.
CAUCGGACGGCUGCGUUUGCACUCGCGCAUUUUCCGCCUUGCCCGUCAACGUAAUGAGCUCGGACGGACCGCGUGCUGCCUGCUGCGUGCGUCUCGUAAGUUUCCACCUACCACGUUCUCCGCCACGACUCCCCAGCUCUCAAAUUCCUCAAACCAUGGCCGCCGCGGCCUCACGGCACCUCUGCUGCGCCACGGCGCUGCUGUCUCCCUCCGCCGCCGCGGCGCCCAUCCGCCAGAGGGUCGGCUACGGCUCCGGCUCCUCCUCCAACCGCCGGUGGGCCCACGGGCCGGACGCCGCGUCCUGGAUCCGGCGCCCGACGACUCGCUCCAGGACAGCGAGGGUGAGCUGCGCCUACUCUACCGGUGCUGAAGCAAUCACUGCAUGUUCCUGGAACCAAAAUGUCAUCUGCAGUGAUGUACCUGUGCUUGUGGAGUUUUGGGCCUCAUGGUGUGGACCUUGUAAAAUGGUCCAUCGAAUUGUCGACGAGAUUGCAGGCGAGUACGCUGGAAGGAUAAAAUGCUAUAAGCUUGACACUGAUGAUUACCUACAAACUGCAAACUCCUACAAUAUCGAGAGGGUUCCGACUGUUUUACUAUUCAAGGAUGGAGAGAAAAUACAUAGUAUUACUGGAACUCUGCCAAAAGCCGUUUAUGUGAGGGCCAUUGAGAAUUCUUUCUUGGAACAGUGACCAUUUUGGUUACAACGUUAUAUUGUUACUUGGUCCAGAUUCAUAUUCCCAUAUACUUGAUUUUUCACUGCCAGCUAGUGGAAAGAGUAGGGAAGGUUUCUCUCUGUUAUGUCAGUGCAAUUGUUGUUUCUGUGGGGCUGCUAAUACUGAGCUAAUUGUCCCAGGUAACUCUUCAAGGCAUGUUUUAUUAAACCUUGUGCUCCUAUUAUUUAUUGUCUCUAAUCUGCAAUAUAUAUCUAGACUCAACAAGCUAAACCUUGGUUAUCAUGCAGAACUUCUUUUUAUUACCCUUUAGCUUGCCUAGGAUGUAAUCUUUAGCUCUCCUUGGGCUGACAAAGAAGACCCACACACUAAGGUAAAAGCUGAGAAAGAAAAAUAGUUUAGAUUAGGUGCAGGAAUAUUGGUAAGUACUUUGGCAGGCGGUAUCAACAGACUGGUGCCAUGGAUUUUUAAUCUUUCCAUGCUGAAGAGUAGUGCAUAGCAAGUGGCUCCGAGUGGCCUGAGUGGAACCAAUGGUAGGAUACAAUAGACUUAGGUUCCUUAGAGAUUGAAUUGCUUAUUAUUGAUAAUAUCCAACUGAAUUAAUUCUAUUAUCUCAUUUUUCGUGGAAAGUUACAGCUGCUCCUACAGUGGUACUGUUGGUUAGUGGCUACAUACAUUUACCGUGCCUUUGAGUUUGAGCUAUGUAGAGUAGCUUUGUGAGGAGGUAUAGCACAAUAAUAUGAUCGGAAUUUCCGGCGAUCACCAGAAUGUUCAGGUACACCUAAAUGCAGCUGAAACACAUCAAGUGCCACAUGAUGGAUAUCAAAGUUCUGGUGAUCGUCUGAUGACUGCUUGACUUAAAUCAAUUUGCAGACACCAAUGGUGAUGGGGCUGCACUAGAGAAUAUUUUUGCUGAAGUUUCUAUUUGUGAAACUAUGAGCCUAUUUUCUCGAACAGUAUUUAGUUUGGAGCUCUGAACUUGUGUGGGCUUUACUUAAAAUUCAGUCUAAUGCUACAUGUGGUUUCGAAGGUGCUGGAGUGAAGCUUUAGACGCAGGUGGUGCAUCAGGUGCUUACACUUUUUUCCGGAUUUAGGACAUGGAUCAUUCAUAUGUAUUGUAUAAAAAUCAUCCACUUUGCCCUUUUCUGAAGUAUUAUUUGUACCUGUCACGGAAAUAUCAAUAACAUCUGGAAAAGCAGACAAUCACUUUUCAUCAUUUUUCUUAUGCAGAAAUAACCUUUGGAUGUAUGGUGUAUACUGGUACCGAUCACUGUGGUUGAUAGAGAACAUACCAGCCAUUUGAGAUUUCCAAACAAGCAUGUAAUAAUGCUUAUAAUUUCACACCCUGUUACAUUUAGAGAUUUACAUAUUUUGAAGCAAA